CUCAAACCCACGAACUGUGAGAUCAUGACCUGAGCCGAAGUCAGACACUCAACCGUCUGAGCCACCCACGCACCCCUAAGUGUGAAAUUUCUUAAGCCAAGGAGUUUGUUUUGUUUUGUUUUGUUUUUAAUCAACCACAAUUAUUUCUCUGUUUACAAAUCUGGAAGAAAAAAUAGAUUCAACCUUUUGAAAAUGGUUGACAUUAGAAUGAAUGGAAUAGAAUUGAAGCAUUUGAUAUUGUAUAUGUUCUUACUCCGACAAUAUCAUGAUGGAUCAAAAUAAUUUUGGAUCUCCUUCAACAGUUUCCUUGAAGACUAUUAAGAUACAUAUUAUUUAAAUAAUAUGAUUUAUUCCCUGCCUCCAUGAGCUCCUGGAAGGUAAGGGCCAUGUUUAUUUUUUUAAUAGCACCAACACCUACUGCUCUACCAGAAACCCGGUUAAUUGGUAUUAAAGAGCAUUCUACAAGAAGUGUUUUCAAUGUGAAUAACCAUCACAAUCCAGAAGUCUCCAGUAUCUGUACCCUUUGAUUAGUACCUGAUUUUUAAAAUGUCUCCUUUACUAACCGUUAUAUGUUAUCUCAAGGUAAGUAGAAACUAGUCAUUUCCUCAAAAUCUUAAGAUCUGGCAAGUGUUUUUAAUGUCAGCCAGGUUUAUGUGCUAUUUUUCACCUUCCAAAGAAUAUGGUGGGAGGCAAUGAAAGAUAAUAGCUUGGUUUCACCUAGUCGAGACCAGUGGAUUGAUCUGGAACUUUCCUGUGUAUUGCCCAGAAUGGCCUUAACACCCUACAGUUAAUGGUCCCAGAACUUUCUACAGUAGUGUUUUUAUUUGGAUAGGUGUGCAGUUCUGGCUAAUUUAGAGGGCUCAGCUAGGAUUUCUCAACAGUGAAUCCAGUACUUACACACUGUGAAGCUUAAAAAGACACUUUGUAAAGAAAGUCACUUUAAGCCAGUGUGGAGCCCAUCUUGUGCAGCCAUGUAAAAUGUCCUGAGAUGUUGAGCAUUCAAUCUGGCUUGUAAGCAUAUGUCUUCUCAUCUGUAAAUUUUCAUUUUUGCAUCUUAGAGACUUGUAAGGGUUUGUCUUGAGACUUUCAGAAAUCCCCACCUUGUUCUGUAGUUUCAGCCUCCCCACCCUCUCCCAGAUCACAUUUCCACUGAAUCUUGUGUUCUCUGUAUUUCCAUACUAUGUCUUAACCACCCCUCUAACUUUGACAUGAGCGACUUUUCUGUUCACAGGAGGUUCACCCAGGAAACUGGGACUAUUCCUACAACAAAGUCCUACUCAUCUAGUGCUUUUUCUGUGGAGUGCACUGUAGAUUAGUUCCUUUUCCUCAUGUCAUGCAUCUGAGUUAUGGUUAUAUUCUAUUCUUAAGAUCCAACCUCUUUUCCUAAGAACUCUGACUUUCCAUAUAUGAUUCCCUUCCAUCAGAAACACUGCCCCUGGGUUCCCUUCCCCCCACCCUUUUGCCCCUUGUCUCACCCCCCAGAACUCCAUAUCUUAUUACAAGUUAUUGUGCUUGUAGGAAUAGAGAAUAUUACACCAUGCCGAGAUGUGGAGGCUGGGGAGUGGCUGAGCCUACUAGCUAAUGACCUGAACAUCGUGGCACUGGGCCUACAUUUGAACUUCAGUAAAAUGGCAAGACCUCACACAUUGGACCUUCAGAGUUAACUCAGGAGGCAACUUUGGAAGCCCACACUUCCCUCUUAGCUAAAGCACGGCACGGCCUGCUGUCUCAUUGCCCAGGAAGCGCAUAGCUAACCACUCUCAGCCACGAUUUGGUCCCAGCUCCUAGAGCUCUGGCUUGCUGAAAAAAUACAGCCCAACCAGAUGGGAACUCCUGCCUGGCACUAGGGCUUCUAAGCCAUCAGGCGUCAUGGCGGAUGUGAAGGGAACCAACUCAGAAGCCUCUCCGGGAAAUCCUUAGUGCCAAAGGUGUUAGAGCAGCUUCAUUUAAACAUGUGAAGGAUCCCCAGUCCCAUCCCUGUCUUCCACAAGGUUGCUUUGUGUCUUACUGAAGCCCCUGGCUGUGCUUUUCUGGAACAGUGACACAGCAGACAACUCCUUUACCUCAAGGUACUUCAGACUGAUGAUAUGGUUCACCUGCUUUAGAUCACAGAUCUGAGCUGUCCACUCAGGAAUCACGCACUGAGCUUAGAAUUCAGAAGCACAAAAUUAUAGACUAGUUCACUCAAGGGAAAAAAAUUCCAUCUUCCAUGGUUUUGGCCAGUGAGGUUACCGUGUGAUUCUUCUGUCAGGAAGGUGACUGGUAGACCUUAGAUUAGAAUCCAUACCUGUCAAGCAGGUUAUCCGUAUAGAAACAUCCUCUUAAUGUCACCAACUCACUUUGCCUCCCUUGCGUCAGAAGGUUGCUUCUACAAAUGUGUUUCACAAGGGAAUCGGGAAAGGGCUAAUCCCAGAAGUAUGCUUAAGUACGGUGACCUAGCAGCUUGGGUUUGGCCAGCUCUUUCUUCCUCUGACACAGUAUUCCUGACGUAUACCCUUUCCUUCCAGGUUCAUUACCUUCUUGAUAUGAUACCUACUUGUUUAGGCCAUGAAAUUUCACUGUGAAUAAGCAAAGAUUUGGCAGGAUGUUCACCACUAGAGCAAGCACCUGAAGGAAACCUUGGCCUCACCUCGGCAUAUGUGACUAUUGCUGUUUCACAGGAGAUCCAUUCUAGAAAUGCCUUUGCUCAUAGCUGAACUGAUUAACAAAACCUUGAAGAAAGCACAAAGUUUUAGUUCAAAAAAUAAUCCAGCUUCUCUGUCAUCAUCCCUUGCCUUCUUAGGCCUGUCCAAACUGUACUGGUAAGAACUUCACAUUCAAAAAAAGUUACGGUCAGUGAUUCUUCAUACAUAAAAUUCAAGUGAUUUCCUUGCGUGUUUUGUAUCACUUUUCUCCUCCUCUCAUGCAUAACUUAUUGCAAUGGUUUAU
Lynx canadensis (Canada lynx) is the source of this 2928-nucleotide long non-coding RNA. RefSeq lists it as uncharacterized. NCBI's taxonomy places the organism in Eukaryota, Metazoa, Chordata, Mammalia, Carnivora, Felidae. The transcript has 4 exons. The record is from RefSeq and is a predicted model, not a curated record.